UCUGGCUUAUAGCCAAGCGGUCCCGUUAGAGUUCCCAACUUAAUGAUGGUAACUAACGGCAAGGGUUGCGCUCGUUGCGGGACUUAACCCAACAUCUCACAACACGAGCUGACGACAGCCAUGCAGCACCUGUGUGUAGGUCCCGUAAGGGAAGGAAUCCAUCUCUGCGACCGGUCCUGGACAUGUCAAGGGCUGGUAAGGUUCUGCGCGUUGCGUCGAAUUAAACCACAUGCUCCACCGCUUGUGCGGGCCCCCGUCAAUUCCUUUGAGUUUUAAUCUUGCGACCGUACUCCCCAGGCGGAAUGCUUAAAGCGUUAGCUGCGCCACUGAAGGGUAAACCCACCAACGGCUAGCAUUCAUCGUUUACGGCGUGGACUAC
This 379-nucleotide unclassified non-coding RNA is filed under the name uncultured Alphaproteobacteria bacterium. RNAcentral describes it as "contains 16S-23S intergenic spacer region". Lineage: Bacteria; Pseudomonadati; Pseudomonadota; Alphaproteobacteria. The record is from RNAcentral.